RNAcentral lists this ribosomal RNA (260 nucleotides) under uncultured Glomus. RNAcentral's name for it is "partial 18S ribosomal RNA". It matches the Rfam family "Eukaryotic small subunit ribosomal RNA", at positions 624 to 886 of the family's 1831-position model. Lineage: Eukaryota; Fungi; Glomeromycota; Glomeromycetes; Glomerales; Glomeraceae. The record is from RNAcentral.
AAGCUCGUAGUUGAAUUUCGGGGUUAGUAGGUUGGUCAUGCCUCUGGUAUGUACUGGUCUCACUGAUUCCUCCUUCCUUAUGAACCGUAAUGCCAUUAAUUUGGUGUUGCGGGGAAUUUGGACUGUUACUUUGAAAAAAUUAGAGUGUUUAAAGCAAGCUAACGCUUGAAUACAUUAGCAUGGAAUAAUGAAAUAGGACGUUCGAUCUUAUUUUGUUUGGUUUCUUGGGAUUGACGUAAUGAUUAAUAGGGAUAGUUGGG